AGUGAACGCUGGCGGUAGGCCUAACACAUGCCAGUCGAACGGCAGCACAGUAAGAGCUUGCUCUUACGGGUGGCGAGUGGCGGACGGGUGAGGAAUACAUCGGAAUCUACUUUUUCGUGGGGGAUAACGUAGGGAAACUUACGCUAAUACCGCAUACGACCUACGGGUGAAAGCAGGGGAUCUUCGGACCUUGCGCGAUUGAAUGAGCCGAUGUCGGAUUAGCUAGUUGGCGGGGUAAAGGCCCACCAAGGCGACGAUCCGUAGCUGGUCGGAGAGGAUGAUCAGCCACACUGGAACUGAGACACGGUCCAGACUCCUACGGGAGGCAGCAGUGGGGAAUAUUGGACAAUGGGCGCAAGCCUGAUCCAGCCAUACCGCGUGGGUGAAGAAGGCCUUCGGGUUGUAAAGCCCUUUUGUUGGGAAAGAAAAGCAGCAGGUUAAUACCCCGCUGUUCUGACGGUACCCAAAGAAUAAGCACCGGCUAACUUCGUG
This 492-nucleotide ribosomal RNA is filed under the name uncultured bacterium. RNAcentral describes it as "partial 16S ribosomal RNA". It matches the Rfam family "Bacterial small subunit ribosomal RNA", at positions 29 to 507 of the family's 1533-position model. The record is from RNAcentral.